AUUGAACGCUGGCGGCAGGCUUAACACAUGCAAGUCGAGCGGAGUGAUGGUGCUUGCACUAUCACUUAGCGGCGGACGGGUGAGUAAUGCUUAGGAAUCUGCCUAUUAGUGGGGGACAACAUCUCGAAAGGGAUGCUAAUACCGCAUACGUCCUACGGGAGAAAGCAGGGGAUCACUUGUGACCUUGCGCUAAUAGAUGAGCCUAAGUCGGAUUAGCUAGUUGGUGGGGUAAAGGCCUACCAAGGCGACGAUCUGUAGCGGGUCUGAGAGGAUGAUCCGCCACACUGGGACUGAGACACGGCCCAGCCUCCUACGGGAGGCAGCGGUGGGGAAUAUUGGACAAUGGGGGGAACCCUGAUCCAGCCAUGCCGCGUGUGUGAAGAAGGCCUUAUGGUUGUAAAGCACUUUAAGCGAGGAGGAGGCUCUUUUGGUUAAUACCCAAGAUGAGUGGACGUUACUCGCAGAAUAAGCACCGGCUAACUCUGUGCCAGCCGCCGCGGUAA
This 503-nucleotide ribosomal RNA is filed under the name uncultured bacterium. Its description in RNAcentral is "partial 16S ribosomal RNA". It matches the Rfam family "Bacterial small subunit ribosomal RNA", at positions 30 to 523 of the family's 1533-position model. The record is from RNAcentral.